RNAcentral lists this ribosomal RNA (575 nucleotides) under uncultured Glomeromycotina. RNAcentral's name for it is "LSU rRNA". It matches the Rfam family "Eukaryotic large subunit ribosomal RNA", at positions 204 to 637 of the family's 3401-position model. Lineage: Eukaryota; Fungi; Glomeromycota. The record is from RNAcentral.
CAUGGAGGGUGAGAAUCCCGUUCGGCUGACCUUAUGACGUUUUACGAUACGCUUUCAAAGAGUCGAGUUGUUUGGGAUUGCAGCUCAAAAUGGGAGGUAAAUUUCUCCUAAGGCUAAAUAUUGGCGAGAGACCGAUAGCGAACAAGUACCGUGAGGGAAAGAUGAAAAGAACUUUGAAAAGAGAGUAAAAUAGUACGUGAAAUUGUUGAAAGGGAAACGAUUGAAGUCAGUCGUACCGACGAGAAAUCAACUCUUCGAGUGCGGGCUUGUGGGCAUGCGGGUGUCUCGUUGUUUGCAACGUCUGUGCUUUUUGGGUGUACUUUUUCGUAUGGUAGGCCAACAUCAGUUUCGAUUAUCAUAAAAUGGCCGGAGGAAUGUAGCUUCGAUUUCGGUUGAAGUGUUAUAGCCUUUGGUAGAUGUGGUGAUGGAGACUGAGGAUUGCAACGAAUACCCUUCGGGCUAUCCGUCUGACCUCUGAAAGUUGCUUAGGUGCCGAAAGCGUGCUUACGGUCAUUUAACGCGACGGUCAAAAGGUUAGAACGUGAUUACAUUCGUUAAGGAUGUUGACGUAAUGG